GACGAACGCUGGCGGCGUGCUUAACACAUGCAAGUCGAACGGAAAGGCCCUGCUUUUGUGGGGUGCUCGAGUGGCGAACGGGUGAGUAACACGUGAGUAACCUGCCCUUGACUUUGGGAUAACUUCAGGAAACUGGGGCUAAUACCGGAUAGGAGCUCCUGCUGCAUGGUGGGGGUUGGAAAGUUUCGGCGGUUGGGGAUGGACUCGCGGCUUAUCAGCUUGUUGGUGGGGUAGUGGCUUACCAAGGCUUUGACGGGUAGCCGGCCUGAGAGGGUGACCGGCAACAUUGGGACUGAGAUACGGCCCAGACUGCUACGGGAGGCAGCAGUGGGGAAUAUUGCAAAAUGGGCGGAAGCCUGAUGCAGCAACGCAGCGUGCGGGAUGACGGCCUUCGGGUUGUAAACCGCGUUCGCCUGUGACGAAGCGUGAGUGACGGUAAUGGGUAAAGAAGCACCGGCUAACUACGUG
This 468-nucleotide ribosomal RNA is filed under the name uncultured bacterium. RNAcentral's name for it is "partial 16S ribosomal RNA". It matches the Rfam family "Bacterial small subunit ribosomal RNA", at positions 28 to 507 of the family's 1533-position model. The record is from RNAcentral.